ACACUUACCCAGCAGGGGAGAUACCAGGAUCUUAAAGAUGGUUUUCCCUGGGCAAGACUUAUCCAUUGCACUCUGGACCAGCUGUUCUCAGCGAUUUACCCAAACAUGGGGAACUCGACUAUAAUUUGUGGUAGUGGCGGGGGGGAUUUGUGUGCUCCCCCCUU
This is a small nuclear RNA of Meriones unguiculatus (Mongolian gerbil), 164 nucleotides long. Its record names the gene U1. It matches the Rfam family "U1 spliceosomal RNA". Rfam says of the family: U1 is a small nuclear RNA (snRNA) component of the spliceosome (involved in pre-mRNA splicing). Its 5' end forms complementary base pairs with the 5' splice junction, thus defining the 5' donor site of an intron. NCBI's taxonomy places the organism in Eukaryota, Metazoa, Chordata, Mammalia, Rodentia, Muridae. The record is from Ensembl.